CNUGCAGUCGAGCGGUAGAGAGAAGCUUGCUUCUCUUGAGAGCGGCGGACGGGUGAGUAAUGCCUAGGAAUCUGCCUGGUAGUGGGGGAUAACGCUCGGAAACGGACGCUAAUACCGCAUACGUCCUACGGGAGAAAGCAGGGGACCUUCGGGCCUUGCGCUAUCAGAUGAGCCUAGGUCGGAUUAGCUAGUUGGUGAGGUAAUGGCUCACCAAGGCGACGAUCCGUAACUGGUCUGAGAGGAUGAUCAGUCACACUGGAACUGAGACACGGUCCAGACUCCUACGGGAGGCAGCAGUGGGGAAUAUUGGACAAUGGGCGAAAGCCUGAUCCAGCCAUGCCGCGUGUGUGAAGAAGGUCUUCGGAUUGUAAAGCACUUUAAGUUGGGAGGAAGGGCAUUAACCUAAUACGUUGGUGUCUUGACGUUACCGACAGAAUAAGCACCGGCUAACUCUGUGCCAGCAGCCGCGGUAAUACAGAGGGUGCAAGCGUUAAUCGGAAUUACUGGGCGUAAAGCGCGCGUAGGUGGUUUGUUAAGUUGGAUGUGAAAUCCCCGGGCUCAACCUGGGAACUGCAUUCAAAACUGACAAGCUAGAGUAUGGUAGAGGGUGGUGGAAUUUCCUGUGUAGCGGUGAAAUGCGUAGAUAUAGGAAGGAACACCAGUGGCGAAGGCGACCACCUGGACUGAUACUGACACUGAGGUGCGAANGCGUGGGGAGCAAACAGGAUUAGAUACCCUGGUAGUCCACGCCGUAANCGAUGUCAACUAGCCGUUGGGAGCCUUGAGCUCUUAGUGGCGCAGCUAACGCAUUAAGUUGACCGCCUGGGGAGUACGGCCGCAAGGUUAAAACUCAAAUGAAUUGACGGGGNCCCGCACAAGCGGUGGAGCAUGNGGUUUANUUCGAAGCAACGCGAAGAACNUUACCAGGCCUUGACAUCCAAUGAACUUUCC
RNAcentral lists this ribosomal RNA (951 nucleotides) under Pseudomonas sp. RNAcentral's name for it is "bacterial SSU rRNA". It matches the Rfam family "Bacterial small subunit ribosomal RNA", at positions 54 to 1001 of the family's 1533-position model. The record is from RNAcentral. Lineage: Bacteria; Pseudomonadati; Pseudomonadota; Gammaproteobacteria; Pseudomonadales; Pseudomonadaceae.